This 507-nucleotide ribosomal RNA is filed under the name uncultured bacterium. RNAcentral describes it as "partial 16S ribosomal RNA". The stretch from base 13 to 373 matches the Rfam family "Bacterial small subunit ribosomal RNA", at positions 40 to 399 of the family's 1533-position model. The record is from RNAcentral.
GACGAACGCUGGCGGCGUGCUUAACACAUGCAAGUCGAACGGAAAGGCCCUGCUUUUGUGGGGUGCUCGAGUGGCGAACGGGUGAGUAACACGUGAGUAACCUGCCCUUGACUUUGGGAUAACUUCAGGAAACUGGGGCUAAUACCGGAUAGGAGCUCCUGCUGCAUGGUGGGGGUUGGAAAGUUUCGGCGGUUGGGGAUGGACUCGCGGCUUAUCAGCUUGUUGGUGGGGUAGUGGCUUACCAAGGCUUUGACGGGUAGCCGGCCUGAGAGGGUGACCGGCCACAGGGGGAGUGAGGAGCCGCCCGGGGACGUAGGGGAGGCGGGAGGGGAUAAGUUGACAGGAGGGGCGGAAGCGUGAAGGAGGAGCGCCGGGUGGGGGAGGGCGGGCGUCGGGUUGAAAGCGGCUGGCGCGGGGGAGGAAGGGUGAGGGCCGGUAAUGGGAAAAGAAGCAGCGGCUAACAACGUGCCGGCAGCGGCGGUAAAGACGCAAAGAACCCGACUGAAC